ACACUAUUGACGUGUUAUGUUGUUCUGACUACUGUAGCGGAGGCUUCAAGUUGUCAAAAGUUGGAACAAGACACGAGCCGGGAUAAAAGGGUAAAGUUGGAACAAAAUAGGGUUUCUACGCGCAGCUCUUUAUCUUGAAAACGACGACCGAUCUGAAGCUCUCUGAAGAUCUGAAGUUCUGAAAAACUCCUACAAACCAGGUGUACUUGUUCAGAAGAGAAACUGCUUGGAAAUGAGUGGAGUAGGGAAAAUAAUGCAUGCCAUAAGACAGUUGCUGACCUAGACCAGAAUGUGGAACAACUGGACUUUGAAAUCGAAGUUCAAUUGUGGGAAGCAGCGAGCAAGGUGAUGACGUAAAGUUAUGGACGAUACUGUUUAUGGAGCAACUGGAUACUACCGGGAUUAUCAAAAUGUUUGCUGUAAUUGAUGUUGCGGGGCUUAUUAAUUUGAUUAAUUGGAUGCCGGAGGCCAUUGCUGGAGUUCACCGAAAGAAUUCAAGUUCAUAAUUGGCAAUUUAGUCUUAUAUGGCAGGGUAGUUCCCAUGUUUCUAGCCUGGGAAACAUUUGUGCAUUUAGAGUACCACAGGUUGAAGUGAUGGUGAAAUCUGAACAAUUACAUUUCUGUAAUUGUAAUAAAAAGGCCGUAUUAUAGCCUUCCUAGUUGAAAUACUCUAAUCAAUCCACCUAAAAAGCCCGCUUUAUAGUCUUCCUA
Molecule: long non-coding RNA, 711 nt
Organism: Cornus florida
Lineage: Eukaryota; Viridiplantae; Streptophyta; Magnoliopsida; Cornales; Cornaceae
Exons: 3
Source: RefSeq, a predicted model, not a curated record